Molecule: ribosomal RNA, 80 nt
Filed under: Mammaliicoccus sciuri
Lineage: Bacteria; Bacillati; Bacillota; Bacilli; Caryophanales; Staphylococcaceae
Description: Staphylococcus sciuri partial 16S ribosomal RNA
Rfam family: Bacterial small subunit ribosomal RNA (bases 13-80)
Source: RNAcentral
AAGCUUCCUUCUUUUAUGGAGAGUUUGAUCCUGGCUCAGGAUGAACGCUGGCGGCGUGCCUAAUACAUGCAAGUCGAGCG